This 470-nucleotide ribosomal RNA is filed under the name Spinomantis mirus. RNAcentral describes it as "partial 16S ribosomal RNA". It matches the Rfam family "Bacterial large subunit ribosomal RNA", at positions 1962 to 2597 of the family's 2925-position model. Lineage: Eukaryota; Metazoa; Chordata; Amphibia; Anura; Mantellidae. The record is from RNAcentral.
UAAUCACUUGUUCUUUAAAUGGGGACUCGUAUCAACGGCAUCACGAGGGUCGUACUGUCUCCUCUCUCCAAUCAAUGAAACUGAUCUCUCCGUGAAGAAGCGGAGAUUUAUAUAUAAGACGAGAAGACCCCAUGGAGCUUUAAACCCUAUUACACCCUCUAUUUGCAACUUCCACCAAAAUAAUAAGGACCCUGUAAAUCGGUUUUUGGUUGGGGUGACCGCGGAGUACAAGAAAACCUCCACGAUGAAAGGGACUACCCCCUUAUCUAAGAGCUACACCUCUAAGAAUCAGAAUACUGACAUUUAAUGAUCCGAUACUCGAUCAACGAACCAAGUUACCCUGGGGAUAACAGCGCAAUCCACUUCAAGAGCCCUUAUCAACAAGUGGGUUUACGACCUCGAUGUUGGAUCAGGGUAUCCUAGUGGUGCAGCAGCUACUAAAGGUUCGUUUGUUCAACGAUUAAAACCCU